Molecule: non-coding RNA, 492 nt
Organism: Terrapene triunguis (Three-toed box turtle)
Lineage: Eukaryota; Metazoa; Chordata; Testudines; Emydidae
Source: the annotation of a RefSeq genome assembly
AUGAAGCCGUUAUUUGUAUUCCUUCUCCUGUUGGCCACCCCCUCGUGGGUCCUGUCACAAGUGCAGCUGGUGGAGUCAGGGCCUGGGACUCUAAAACCCUCAGAGACUCUCAGCCUCACCUGCUCCAUCUCAGGUGCCUCCUCGGACACCCUGGGCAGUAGUUGUUGCUGGUGGAACUGGAUCCGGCAGAGUCCCGGGAAAGGGCUGGAAUGGAUCGGGCGUAUAGCUCAAGGGGGAAGCACAAACUACGCUGCUUCCCUCCAGAGUCGCAUCACCAUCUCGGUGAACCCUUCCAAGAACCAGUUCUCCCUGGAGCUCCGCUUGCUGACAGCUGCAGACACCGCCACGUAUUACUGCUCCAGACACACAGUGACACAGAGCAGAGCGGGCCUGGCACAAAAAGGGGAAGUGGAUUCUGAGCAGCGCAGGGACCAGUUUAACUCACUUGUCUACGGCAACAGUGAGGUGGGGAUGAAUCUACCCCUGCACUAG